GCAAGUCGAGCGGUAGCACAGAGAAGCUUGCUUCUUGGGUGACGAGCGGCGGACGGGUGUGUAACGCGUGGGAAUCUACCUGGUAGUGGGGGACAACAGUCGGAAACGACUGCUAAUACCGCAUACGCCCUUCGGGGGAAAGUGGGGGAUCUUCGGACCUCACGCUAUCAGAUGAGCCCGCGUCGGAUUAGCUUGUUGGUGAGGUAAAGGCUCACCAAGGCGAUGAUCCGUAGCUGGUCUGAGAGGAUGACCAGCCACACUGGGACUGAGACACGGCCCAGACUCCUACGGGAGGCAGCAGUGGGGAAUAUUGGACAAUGGGGGCAACCCUGAUCCAGCCAUGCCGCGUGUGUGAAGAAGGCCUUCGGGUUGUAAAGCACUUUCAGCUGUGAGGGAAGGCGAGUGGUUAAUACCCGCUUGCUGUGACGUUAACAGCAGAAGAAGGACCGGCUAACUCCGUGCCAGCAGCCGCGGUAAUACGGAGGGUCCGAGCGUUAAUCGGAAUUACUGGGCGUAAAGCGCGCGUAGGUGGUUCAGUCAGUCAGAUGUGAAAGCCCCGGGCUCAACCUGGGAACUGCACCUGAUACUGCUGAGCUAGAGUACGGUAGAGGGUAGUGGAAUUUCCGGUGUAGCGGUGAAAUGCGUAGAGAUCGGAAGGAACACCAGUGGCGAAGGCGACUACCUGGACCGAUACUGACACUGAGGUGCGAAAGCGUGGGUAGCAAACAGGAUUAGAUACCCUGGUAGUCCACGCCGUAAACGAUGUCAACUAGCCGUUGGGGGACUUGAUCCUUUAGUGUCGAAGCUAACGCGAUUAGUUGACUGCCUGGGCAGUACGGCCGCAAGGUUACUACUCAAAUGAAUUGACGGAA
This 872-nucleotide ribosomal RNA is filed under the name uncultured bacterium. RNAcentral describes it as "bacterial SSU rRNA". It matches the Rfam family "Bacterial small subunit ribosomal RNA", at positions 57 to 918 of the family's 1533-position model. The record is from RNAcentral.